CCUACGGGGGGCAGCAGUGGGGAAUAUUGCACAAUGGGGGAAACCCUGAUGCAGCGACGCCGCGUGAGUGAAGAAGUAUUUCGGUACGUAAAGCUCUAUCAGCAGGGAAGAAAAUGACGGUACCUGACUAAGAAGCCCCGGCUAACUACGUGCCAGCAGCCGCGGUAAUACGUAGGGGGCAAGCGUUAUCCGGAUUUACUGGGUGUAAAGGGAGCGUAGACGGCAGCGCAAGUCUGGAGUGAAAUCCCAUGGCUUAACCAUGGAACUGCUUUGGAAACUGUGCAGCUAGAGUGCAGGAGAGGUAAGCGGAAUUCCUAGUGUAGAGGUGAAAUGCGUAGAUAUUAGGAGGAACACCAGUGGCGAAGGCGGCUUACUGGACUGUAACUGACGUUGAGGCUCGAAAGCGUGGGGAGCAAACAGGAUUAGAUACCCGAGUAGUC
RNAcentral lists this ribosomal RNA (440 nucleotides) under uncultured bacterium. RNAcentral describes it as "partial 16S ribosomal RNA". It matches the Rfam family "Bacterial small subunit ribosomal RNA", at positions 338 to 795 of the family's 1533-position model. The record is from RNAcentral.